GACGAACGCUGGCGGCGUGCCUAAUACAUGCAAGUAGAACGCUGAAGAGAGGAGCUUACUCUUCUUGGAUGAGUUGCGAACGGGUGAGUAACGCGUAGGUAACCUGCCUUGUAGCGGGGGAUAACUAUUGGAAACGAUAGCUAAUACCGCAUAACAAUGGAUGACACAUGUCAUUUAUUUGAAAGGGGCAAUUGCUCCACUACAAGAUGGACCUGCGUUGUAUUAGCUAGUAGGCGAGGUAAUGGCUCACCUAGGCGACGAUACAUAGCCGACCUGAGAGGGUGAUCGGCCACACUGGGACUGAGACACGGCCCAGACUCCUACGGGAGGCAGCAGUAGGGAAUCUUCGGCAAUGGGGGCAACCCUGACCGAGCAACGCCGCGUGAGUGAAGAAGGUUUUCGGAUCGUAAAGCUCUGUUGUAAGUCAAGAACGGGUGUGAGAGUGGAAAGUUCACACUGUGACGGUAGCUUACCAGAAAGGGACGGCUAACUACGUG
Molecule: ribosomal RNA, 497 nt
Filed under: uncultured bacterium
Lineage: Bacteria
Description: partial 16S ribosomal RNA
Rfam family: Bacterial small subunit ribosomal RNA
Source: RNAcentral